This 920-nucleotide ribosomal RNA is filed under the name uncultured korarchaeote. RNAcentral's name for it is "bacterial SSU rRNA". It matches the Rfam family "Archaeal small subunit ribosomal RNA", at positions 1 to 895 of the family's 1478-position model. Lineage: Archaea; Thermoproteati; Thermoproteota. The record is from RNAcentral.
GCCCUUUUCCGGUUGUACCCGCCGGACCCGACUGCUAUCGGGCUGGGACUAAGACAUGCAAGUCGUGCGCGGUCGCCAUGCCCGACCGCGCGGCGGACGGCUCCGUAACACGUCCCCAACCGAACCUCGGGACCCGGAUAACCUCGGGAAACUGAGGUUAAUCCGGGAUAGGAGAGGGGUCCUGGAAGGGCCCUCUCCGAAAGGGGUGAUCGAGGCCAUGGUCGAUCACCCGCCCGAGGACGGGGGGGCGGCCCAUCAGGUAGUAGGUGGGGUAACGGCCCACCUAGCCUAUGACGGGUACGGGCGCUGGGAGGCGGAGCCCGGAGAGGGGCACUGAGACAAGGGCCUCAGCCCUACGGGGUGCAGCAGUCGCGAAACCUCCGCAAUGCGCGAAAGCGUGACGGGGUCAGCCCGAGUGCCACCCGUGAGGGUGGCUGUGGCCGGCCGUAAAAAAGCCGGCUUAGAAAGCGGAGGGCAAGGCUGGUGCCAGCCGCCGCGGUAAAACCAGCUCCGCGAGUGGUCGGGACUAUUACUGGGCUUAAAGGGUCCGUAGGCGGCCCCGUGAGUCCGCGGCUAAAUCCCAGGGCUCAACCCUGGGACUGCUGCGGAUACCACGGGGCUAGGGACCGGGCGAGGGCGGGGGUACUCACCGGGUAGGGGCGAAAUCCUGAGAUCCGGUGAGGACCGGCGGUGGCGAAGGCGCCUGCCUGGAACGGCUCCGACGCUGAGGGACGAAAGCCGGGGGAGCGAAGGGGAUUAGAUACCCCCGUAGUCCCGGCUGUAAACGAUGCCUGCUAGGUGUUGGGCUGGCUGGAGCCAGCCCAGUGCCUGAAGGGAAACCGUUAAGCGGGCCGCCUGGGGAGUACGGCCGCAAGGNUGAAAUUAAAGGGAACUGGGGGGGCCAGUCAAGGGGGAGGGAU